GACGAACGCUGGCGGCGUGCUUAACACAUGCAAGUCGAACGGAAAGGCCCUGCUUUUGUGGGGUGCUCGAGUGGCGAACGGGUGAGUAACACGUGAGUAACCUGCCCUUGACUUUGGGAUAACUUCAGGAAACUGGGGCUAAUACCGGAUAGGAGCUCCUGCUGCAUGGUGGGGGUUGGAAAGUUUCGGCGGUUGGGGAUGGACUCGCGGCUUAUCAGCUUGUUGGUGGGGUAGUGGCUUACCAAGGCUUUGACGGGUAGCCGGCCUGAGAGGGUGACCGGCCCCAUUGGGACUGGGAUACGGCCCAGGCCCCUCCGGGGGGCAGCAGUGGGGAAUAUUGCCAAAUGGGCGGAAGCCUGGUGCAGCAACCCCGCGUGCGGGAUGACGGCCUUCGGGUUGUAAACCGCUUUCCCCUGUGACGAAGCGGGGUUGGCGGUAAUGGGUAAAAAAGCCCCGGCUACCUACGU
Molecule: ribosomal RNA, 467 nt
Filed under: uncultured bacterium
Lineage: Bacteria
Description: partial 16S ribosomal RNA
Rfam family: Bacterial small subunit ribosomal RNA
Source: RNAcentral